This 97-nucleotide ribosomal RNA is filed under the name Cricetulus griseus (Chinese hamster). Lineage: Eukaryota; Metazoa; Chordata; Mammalia; Rodentia; Cricetidae. The record is from RNAcentral.
GUCUAUGGCCAUACCACCCUGAACACACCUGAUCUCAGAAGCUAAGCAGGGUUGGUCUUGAUUAGUACUUCGAUGGGAGAAGUACUGACUACAGAUA